GAACUCCAUGCCAUGGGACAAGCCUCCAUAUCUAAAGGUUCAAUGGCUCACCACCGACCAUAGACGUGGAUUGGCUGGCGUUCCCAGAAGCUCAUACAAUCCCUCAGUUGACAAUUGUAACCUCAGAACAAGAUUGGGCCGCCAUAGUCGAUGAAUAGGAACUCUCUAGCGAAGAAGAUGAACAGUAGUGUGCGGAAAAAGAUAAUCGCACCCAUACCAAAGAUAAUCGCAAUGCUCCAUACCAAACAUCCAAAGUCCCCUCGUAUCAAAGAUAAUAGCAUUCCAUUUGCUAAGAGUCAAUGGCCUCCAGCAGCAAGGGAAAGGCAUAUCAAGGACGACUCACACUCCUUGAAAUAAGACCAGAAUGCCGUACAUUUGCAUUUCUUGCAAUUACUCAGAAAUUAAAGGCAAUCUUUUUCCUCUGAAACAUCUAA
Rhodamnia argentea is the source of this 434-nucleotide long non-coding RNA. RefSeq lists it as uncharacterized. The transcript is spliced from 2 exons. Lineage: Eukaryota; Viridiplantae; Streptophyta; Magnoliopsida; Myrtales; Myrtaceae. The record is from RefSeq and is a predicted model, not a curated record.